Molecule: ribosomal RNA, 922 nt
Filed under: uncultured archaeon
Lineage: Archaea
Description: partial 16S ribosomal RNA
Rfam family: Archaeal small subunit ribosomal RNA
Source: RNAcentral
UUUCCGGUUGAUCCAGCCAGAGGCCAUUGCUAUCGGAGUCCGAUUUAGCCAUGCUAGUCGCACGAGUUCGUACUCGUGGCAAAUAGCUCAGUAACACGUGGCCAAACUGCCCUAUGGACGGGGAUAACCUCGGGAAACUGAGGCUAAUCCCCGAUACGGCUCCCACGCUGGAAUAGCAGGGAGCUGGAAACGCUCCGGCGCCAUAGGAUGUGGCUGCGGCCGAUUAGGUAGACGGUGGGGUAACGGCCCACCGUGCCCAUAAUCGGUACGGGUCAUGAGAGUGAGAGCCCGGAGACGGUAUCUGAGACAAGAUACCGGGCCCUACGGGGCGCAGCAGGCGCGAAACCUUUACACUGCACGACAGUGCGAUAAGGGGACUCCGAGUGCGAGGGCAUACAGUCCUCGCUUUUCUGCACCGUAAGGUGGUGCAGGAACAAGUGCUGGGCAAGACCGGUGCCAGCCGCCGCGGUAAUACCGGCAGCACGAGUGAUGGCCGAUAUUAUUGGGCCUAAAGCGUCCGUAGCCGGCCGGAAAAGUCCGUUGGGAAAUUUUGCUCGCCUAACCAGCAGGCGUCCAGCGGAAACUGUCCGGCUUGGGGCCGGAAGAUCCGAGGGGUACGUCCGGGGUAGGAGUGAAAUCCCGUAAUCCUGGACGGACCGCCGGUGGCGAAAGCGCCUCGGAAGGACGGACCCGACGGUCAGGGACGAAAGCUAGGGUCUCGAACCGGAUUAGAUACCCGGGUAGUCCUAGCUGUAAACGAUGUUCGCUAGGUGUGGCGUCGACUACGAGUCGGCGCUGUGCCGCAGGGAAGCCGCUAAGCGAACCGCCUGGGAAGUACGUCCGCAAGGAUGAAACUUAAAGGAAUUGGCGGGGGAGCACUACAACCGGAGGAGCCUGCGGUUUAAUUGGAUUCAACGCCGGA